This 354-nucleotide ribosomal RNA is filed under the name Triticum aestivum (bread wheat). RNAcentral describes it as "partial small subunit ribosomal RNA". Lineage: Eukaryota; Viridiplantae; Streptophyta; Magnoliopsida; Poales; Poaceae. The record is from RNAcentral.
AUGGCUGGUGUGACCAUCUCUAGGGUUGGCGGUGCCCUUUCGCUGCACAAGACGUGGGCGGCAAGCCGCCCCAGGGCCACGCCGGUGGCUACAGCGGCAGAAAUUUUGGUCUGUCGCUCCCUCGGCAUCGUCAAGGAUGGUGAGGAUGUGACUGCUGCAACCUUUGAUGCCUUCGCGGAGCGCUUCAAAGAGCACCUGUCGUCGGAGGUGAUCACGGCCAUGAGGGGGCUUUUCAAGCUGGACGACGCGAAUGCGCAUGCUGUGGAGGAGGCCCUCCUGUCGCACGGUGGGGGUGGCGCGCUGGACCUGGAGAGGGCCGAUGAGGAGGCCGAGCUUCAGCAGGCUGCAACCUAA